RNAcentral lists this transfer RNA (64 nucleotides) under Bavayia crassicollis. RNAcentral's name for it is "tRNA-Cys". Lineage: Eukaryota; Metazoa; Chordata; Lepidosauria; Squamata; Diplodactylidae. The record is from RNAcentral.
AGCCCUGUGGUGAGUGUCACAUCAAAUUGCAAAUUUGAAGAAGUUCCUUUAGGUUCCAGGGCUU